Molecule: ribosomal RNA, 1438 nt
Filed under: uncultured organism
Description: SSU rRNA
Rfam family: Bacterial small subunit ribosomal RNA
Source: RNAcentral
UAGGAUGAACGCUAGCUACAGGCUUAACACAUGCAAGUCGAGGGGCAGCAUGGUCUUAGCUUGCUAAGGCCGAUGGCGACCGGCGCACGGGUGAGUAACGCGUAUCCAACCUGCCUUACACUCUUGGACAGCCUUCUGAAAGGGAGAUUAAUACAAGAUGUUAUCAUGAGUAAGCAUUUUCGCAUGAUUAAAGGUUUACCGGUGUAAGAUGGGGAUGCGUUCCAUUAGAUAGUAGGCGGGGUAACGGCCCACCUAGUCUUCGAUGGAUAGGGGUUCUGAGAGGAAGGUCCCCCACAUUGGAACUGAGACACGGUCCAAACUCCUACGGGAGGCAGCAGUGAGGAAUAUUGGUCAAUGGACGAGAGUCUGAACCAGCCAAGUAGCGUGAAGGAUGAAGGUUCUAUGGAUUGUAAACUUCUUUUAUACGGGAAUAAACGAAUCCACGUGUGGAUUUUUGCAUGUACCGUAUGAAUAAGGAUCGGCUAACUCCGUGCCAGCAGCCGCGGUAAUACGGAGGAUCCGAGCGUUAUCCGGAUUUAUUGGGUUUAAAGGGAGCGUAGAUGGGUUGUUAAGUCAGUUGUGAAAGUUUGCGGCUCAACCGUAAAAUUGCAAUUGAUACUGGCAGUCUUGAGUACAGUUGAGGUAGGCGGAAUUCGUGGUGUAGCGGUGAAAUGCUUAGAUAUCACGAAGAACUCCGAUUGCGAAGGCAGCUUACUAACCUGUAACUGACAUUGAUGCUCGAAAGUGUGGGUAUCAAACAGGAUUAGAUACCCUGGUAGUCCACACGGUAAACGAUGAAUACUCGCUGUAGGCGAUAUACAGUCUGCGGCCAAGCGAAAGCAUUAAGUAUUCCACUUGGGGAGUACGGCGGCAACGGUGAAACUCAAAGGAAUUGACGGGGGCCCGCACAAGCGGAGGAACAUGUGGUUUAAUUCGAUGAUACGCGAGGAACCUUACCCGGGCUUAAAUUGCAACCGAAUAUGGCGGAAACGCUAUAGCUAGCAAUAGCGGUUGUGAAGGUGCUGCAUGGUUGUUGUCAGCUCGUGCCGUGAGGUGUCGGCUUAAGUGCCAUAACGAGCGCAACCCUUGCCGAUAGUUACUAACAGGUCAUGCUGAGGACUCUGUCGGGACUGCCAUCGUAAGAUGUGAGGAAGGUGGGGAUGACGUCAAAUCAGCACGGCCCUUACGUCCGGGGCUACACACGUGUUACAAUGGGGGGUACAGAGGGCUGGUACCACGCAAGUGGAUGCCAAUCCCAAAAACCUCUCUCAGUUCGGAUUGAAGUCUGCAACCCGACUUCAUGAAGCUGGAUUCGCUAGUAAUCGCGCAUCAGCCACGGCGCGGUGAAUACGUUCCCGGGCCUUGUACACACCGCCCGUCAAGCCAUGGGAGCCGGGGGUACGUGAAGUGCGUAACCGCAAGGAGCGCCCUAGGGUAA